Molecule: long non-coding RNA, 1554 nt
Filed under: Pandoravirus dulcis
Description: putative ncRNA
Source: RNAcentral
CGCAUAGUCGGCCGCGUGAUCGAGCACCUCGUCGGGUGCCAUCCCCGUGCGCAGGGGACCGGUGUAGGCGCGCGCGGCGAAAUCGACCAGGUUCUGCGGGGCGUAGCGGCGACUUUCGGCGCGCGCGCGAACCUGUCCCUCAAAAAGGCGCAGGGCGAUCACGAGACGACACUCAUCCAUCCAGGCGCCCCUCAUCGGCGCCGAGUACCAGUCGUCCUCGGCGUUGGCAUAGUUGUCGUCGAUGAGAUCGCGCACGGGGUCGGGCAGGUCAAACUCGGACGGCAGCGGCACCAUGGUCGCCUUGAUCUGUUGCGCGCCCGCCGGCGUCGGCUCCAGCAACAGAGACGUCCUCUCGAUAUCGUCGGCAUAGGUCUCCUCUUCGUCCUCGUAGAGUUGACACGGCUCGGGCGAGGCCAGCGCCGCCAGGAACAAGGUCAGCGACUCGGCAUAGGGCGCGAGGGCCUCGGUCACCCGCGGCCGGGCCGCGAUCGAGGCUAGCGGACCGGCGUCGACGCGAGACAGCACGUCAAACGGCCGCGCCCUGGUGGUCGGCAGGCAGUAGGGGAUGGCGGCCGUGGCCACCAGCGUAGCCGUGCCCGACUGGGGGGUGACGGCAAAGAGUGCCACGCGCGUGUCCUCGUCUCCGUCCGACUCGAGGAUAAAGUAGGAGACGUUGGGGUUACAUCCUUGGACGCGCGCGUCGACCCAGUCCGUGCCCGCAAACGGAUCGGCAAAGGACUGGGACGGACUGUAUCCGAUGGCGCCGAGGAUCGCACGACGGCGAGCCGCGGCGUCUAUGGACUGAACGAGCGCGCCUACGAUCUCUGUCAAGGGUCGGUCCUCGAUACGCUUUUGGAGCAGGUAGAGGUGGCCCAGCGCCGGAUCGUCCUCGGUAUCGAGGCCCGCAUAGGCGCGCACGACGUCGGCAAAGGUGGGCGGCCACGCCGAGGACAUCGAGAGGACGACGCCGAGCGCUGCCGUGUGCUCUGGCCUCGCCAACGUGCGCCACAGAUGCCGGUAGGUGUCGACAACUGGCCCGCACGACGUUGUCGCAUUCGGGCGCUCGGCCGCCCUCCACGCGCUGCCCGCGCCGCCGAUCGCGCCGCCAAGCGCCAGCCGCAGCAUCUCACGCAGGUCUGCGGCGUCGGCCGAGCCGUCCGAGACCCGUGUGCACAGGGCCUCUAAAUCGGCGAUGGACGCGUCAGCGUUCCACGGCGUCCCCGCGACACCGACGCGCGGCUGCUUGUGCGCAGGCGAACCGACAAACAUGGGCUCGGUCUCGUCGUCAUCGCCGUCGAAAUCUUGGGACAGCCGACGCUUCAUCGGUAUGGCGUCUUCUUUUUUUUUUGUUACCCUCCAGCAGAGACAAACAUUGCGCCACGCGACGACGCAAGGAUUCCGUCGGGCCACACCCACCCGCCCAUUUUUGUCUUUGCGCGAAUUAAGCGCCAUUUUUUCUUUCUCUCUUAUCUGUGCCCUCAUCGGUAGCAAAAACCGAGCGAAAAACAUGCCCAUCAAAGAAAAAAAAGACCAACAACAGCGCCGGGUUGAUCA